GUGGGGAAUUUUGGACAAUGGGCGAAAGCCUGAUCCAGCCAUGCCGCGUGCAGGAUGAAGGCCUUCGGGUUGUAAACUGCUUUUGUAUGGAACGAAAAGACUCUGGUUAAUACCUGGGGUCCAUGACGGUACCGUAAGAAUAAGCACCGGCUAACUACGUGCCAGCAGCCGCGGUAAUACGUAGGGUGCAAGCGUUAAUCGGAAUUACUGGGCGUAAAGCGUGCGCAGGCGGUUAUAUAAGACAGAUGUGAAAUCCCCGGGCUCAACCUGGGAACUGCAUUUGUGACUUUAUAGCUAGAGUACGGCAGAGAGGGAUGGAAUUCCGCGUGUAGCAGUGAAAUGCGUAGAUAUGCGGAGGAACACCGAUGGCGAAGGCAAUCCCCUGGGCCUGCACUGACGCUCAUGCACGAAAGCGUGGGGAGCAAACAGGAUUAGAAACCCCUGUAGUCC
RNAcentral lists this ribosomal RNA (450 nucleotides) under uncultured bacterium. RNAcentral's name for it is "partial 16S ribosomal RNA". It matches the Rfam family "Bacterial small subunit ribosomal RNA", at positions 354 to 796 of the family's 1533-position model. The record is from RNAcentral.